UACGUAGGUGACAAGCGUUGUCCGGAUUUACUGGGCGUAAAGAGCGCGCAGGCGGUCGUUCAAGUAGAGUGUGAAAGCCCCCGGCUCAACUGGGGAGGGUCAUUCGAUACUGAUCGACUCGAAGGCAGGAGAGGGUAGUGGAAUUCCCGGUGUAGUGGUGAAAUGCGUAGAUAUCGGGAGGAACACCAGUGGCGAAGGCGACUACCUGGCCUGUUCUUGACGCUGAGGCGCGAAAGCUAGGGGAGCAAACGGG
RNAcentral lists this ribosomal RNA (253 nucleotides) under uncultured bacterium. RNAcentral describes it as "partial 16S ribosomal RNA". It matches the Rfam family "Bacterial small subunit ribosomal RNA", at positions 524 to 776 of the family's 1533-position model. The record is from RNAcentral.